AUUGAACGCUGGCGGCAGGCCUAACACAUGCAAGUCGAGCGGAUGAAGAGAGCUUGCUCUCUGAUUCAGCGGCGGACGGGUGAGUAAUGCCUAGGAAUCUGCCUGGUAGUGGGGGACAACGUUUCGAAAGGAACGCUAAUACCGCAUACGUCCUACGGGAGAAAGCGGGGGAUCUUCGGACCUCACGCUAUCAGAUGAGCCUAGGUACGAUUAGCUAGUUGGCGAGGUAAAGGCUCACCAAGGCGACGAUCGUUAACUGGUCUGAGAGGAUGAUCAGUCACACUGGAACUGAGACACGGUCCUGACUCCUACGGGAGGCAGCAGUGGGGAAUAUUGGACAAUGGGCGAAAGCCUGAUCCAGCCAUGCCGCGUGUGUGAAGAAGAUCUUCGGAUUGUAAAGCACUUUAAGUUGGGAGGAAGGGCAGUAAGUUAAUACCUUGCUGUUUUGACGUUACCGACAGAAUAAGCACCGGCUAACUUCGUGCCAGCCGCCGCCGUAA
Molecule: ribosomal RNA, 500 nt
Filed under: uncultured bacterium
Lineage: Bacteria
Description: partial 16S ribosomal RNA
Rfam family: Bacterial small subunit ribosomal RNA
Source: RNAcentral